CUAACUCUUAUCUAAAGAUUGUAACAACCUCAAGUUUCAAAAACAUGCAACACUAACCAGUUAUUUUAUGUGCCAUCCGACAUCCAAAACAUUUCAGAAGAUUUGGAGGGAGGUACCCUCGCAUGAGAACAGUGUCUGUUAUGAAUUGCAUUUCCCGUAAUCCUGACAUUUGACUUCACUAUGACAAUAGCUUAAAAUAAACCAACGGAAGAAUGGUUUUACAGUGGGUUAAAGCGAAGGAAUAUUACAGAAAGAGUUUGUGAACAAACAUUAAUAUUUCAACUGCCCCCAACAUUCACUACUGGAAACAUGAUUCAUCUGCAUUUUCCCAUUAAAAAAAAGAGCCUUUUACAUGUAUCCCUUUGUUAAUACCUUUGAUAUGAUCAUCCACAUCACAAGCUCUCUUUUUUUUUUUUUUUUUUU
RNAcentral lists this unclassified non-coding RNA (423 nucleotides) under Hevea brasiliensis (rubber tree). The record is from RNAcentral. Lineage: Eukaryota; Viridiplantae; Streptophyta; Magnoliopsida; Malpighiales; Euphorbiaceae.